UGGUUCUGGCAUCGAUGAAGAACGCAGCGAAAUGCGAUAAGUAGUGUGAAUUGCAGAAUUCCGCGAACCAUCGAAUCUUUGAACGCACAUUGCGCCCGCUAGCAUUCUAGCGGGCAUGCCUGUUCGAGCGUCAUUUCGACCCUCAGAACGCCGCCCCCCAGGGCGCGCCUUCUGGUGUUGGGGUGCUACGGCGUCUGCGCCGUAGGCCCCGAAAGACUGCUGGCGGACCCGCCUCGCGCCGAGCGUAGUAGCAAUAUCCUCGCUCAGGCCGCGCGGCGGCGCGCCCUGCCACUAAACCUGCGGGCUGCAGCGGGCGCUACGGCGUCCGCGGCAGGCACGCCUUCGCUGGUUGACCUCGGAUCAGGUAGGAAUACCCGCUGA
RNAcentral lists this unclassified non-coding RNA (381 nucleotides) under uncultured fungus. Its description in RNAcentral is "partial contains 5.8S ribosomal RNA and internal transcribed spacer 2". The stretch from base 1 to 133 matches the Rfam family "5.8S ribosomal RNA", at positions 22 to 154 of the family's 154-position model. The record is from RNAcentral. Lineage: Eukaryota; Fungi.